This 46-nucleotide ribosomal RNA is filed under the name Heterorhabditis indica. Its description in RNAcentral is "partial 28S ribosomal RNA". The record is from RNAcentral. Lineage: Eukaryota; Metazoa; Nematoda; Chromadorea; Rhabditida; Heterorhabditidae.
CAACCUGAGCUCAGUCGUGAUUACCCGCCGAACUUAAGCAUAUCAU